RNAcentral lists this ribosomal RNA (429 nucleotides) under Verrucomicrobiota bacterium. Its description in RNAcentral is "Verrucomicrobia bacterium partial 16S ribosomal RNA". It matches the Rfam family "Bacterial small subunit ribosomal RNA", at positions 355 to 776 of the family's 1533-position model. The record is from RNAcentral. Lineage: Bacteria; Pseudomonadati; Verrucomicrobiota.
UAGGGAAUCUUCCGCAAUGGACGAAAGUCUGACGGAGAAACGCCGCGUGAGUGAAGAAGGAUUUCGGUUCGUAAAACUCUGUUGUUAGGGAAGAAAAAAUGUAUAGUAACUAUAUACAAAAGAGACGGUACCUAACCAGAAAGCCACGGCUAACUACGUGCCAGCAGCCGCGGUAAUACGUAGGUGGCAAGCGUUGUCCGGAAUUAUUGGGCGUAAAGCGCGCGCAGGUGGUUUAGAAAGUCUGAUGUGAAAGCCCACGGCUCAACCGUGGAGGGUCAUUGGAAACUAAUAAACUUGAGUGCAGGAGAGAAAAGUGGAAUUCCUAGUGUAGCGGUGAAAUGCGUAGAGAUUAGGAGGAACACCGGUGGCGAAAGCGGCUUUUUGGCCUGCAACUGACACUGAGGCGCGAAAGCGUGGGGAGCAAACAGG